Molecule: unclassified non-coding RNA, 327 nt
Filed under: soil metagenome
Description: partial contains 5.8S ribosomal RNA, internal transcribed spacer 2, and large subunit ribosomal RNA
Rfam family: 5.8S ribosomal RNA (bases 1-120)
Source: RNAcentral
GAUGAAGAACGUAGCGAAAUGCGAUAAGUAAUGUGAAUUGCAGAAUUCAGUGAAUCAUCGAAUCUUUGAACGCACAUUGCGCCCCUUGGUAUUCCGAGGGGCAUGCCUGUUCGAGCGUCAUUAUAACCCUCAAGCUCAGCUUGGUGUUGGGGCCUGCUGCACUGGCAGCCCUUAAAAUCAGUGGCGGCGCCAUCUGGCUCUAAGCGUAGUAAUUCUUCUCGCUAUGGAGUCCUGGUGGAUGCUUGCCAUCAACCCCCAAUUUUUCUAUGGUUGACCUCGGAUCAGGUAGGGAUACCCGCUGAACUUAAGCAUAUCAAUAACGGAGGA